ACGCCGCGCAGCGCGCACCAAGCGGCCAGGAACAGUCGGUGGCCCUCAGGCUCAACAGCAGCACGUCCCCUCCCAGCGUCGCCGCAGCCAUAUCUGAUGCCACUGCAUGCAACUGCUGUGAUAAUGAACCCGUAAUGGAUGGAAGACGCCAGUAUCAGAAUGCUUUAUAAUGUAGUCUGCCAGGCGGCAUCUUGUUACCACACACUUUUACUGAGAGGAAAACACAGACUGACAUAGUCAGGAUUGGAACCCACCUGGAAUAAUCUCCUCGGUAACCGCUGCUCCUCCAAUCACAUGCCGCCUCUCAAGGACCACCGUGUUCACCCCAGAUUUCUGUAGGUAGGCCGCCUGUAAUAGCAUCACACACAUUUGUAUUAGUAAAUGGUAACUUGCAACAUAAGAAAGUAGAGAGAAAAUAAUUUAAUAAGGAUGGCAUACAGGAUUCAUUAAAGCCAGUAUAUGACAACUGA
This is a long non-coding RNA of Pseudophryne corroboree (corroboree frog), 470 nucleotides long. RefSeq lists it as uncharacterized. Lineage: Eukaryota; Metazoa; Chordata; Amphibia; Anura; Myobatrachidae. The record is from RefSeq and is a predicted model, not a curated record. The transcript has 3 exons.